Molecule: small nucleolar RNA, 133 nt
Organism: Jaculus jaculus (lesser Egyptian jerboa)
Lineage: Eukaryota; Metazoa; Chordata; Mammalia; Rodentia; Dipodidae
Source: Ensembl
CCCUCUUUAACAGCAUGCAGUAGGCCAUUUGCUAAUGACUCAUUGGGCCAUCAAGAAGUGGCAGAGUGACAAAACUGCUUUUGGGUGAAAUGGUAGCAUGUGCUGUUUUGCUUCAAACAGUGGUAUGACAAGU